CUUUCAGAUGAGCAAUUUUCUGGGCAAACUUAUAACAGCUGGAAAGAGUGGAAAUAAUGACUGGCUCUUAUGUGGUCUGACAAAGGAUUUGUAUGCAGUUUCAGGCCCGAAUAUACACAUAAAAUGCUGUCACCUCCCUCCUCUGCCCCCAGUAUCCCUGCUCCUCUGCUGAAUUCUCUCACUUCACUGAGGACAGUCAGGCUCCACACAACCCCUGCUCCAGACUUGACUUUCACUAGCUACAUUCUGGAAGAUUGCUCCGGUGGGUUUUUGGCUGGCCUUCUUUGCCUAUAGCGCCUUAUUUUCCAGUGCUAAUGGAACAGCAAGCCUGUACUUCUCUACUAAUCAGAUGAAGACUCUCAGAAUAAAAAUAAUUACAUUAAUCUAGGUUAAUAAAAGCUUAGCUGAAUUUAUACAAACUCUGUUGUAUGCUGUGAUCGUGUUGUGGUGCUGGAUAUAAUGAUCACAAUGCCUGCAUUCUCAUACCUAUGGAAACCUUUGGCACUCUUUCACCUCACUGAAAUCUGGAGUUAUUAACAGAGAGGAAAGGAGAAGGAUAGAGAGUUCGAUGAGAGAGAAACAUCGAUC
This is a long non-coding RNA of Myotis myotis, 588 nucleotides long. RefSeq lists it as uncharacterized. Lineage: Eukaryota; Metazoa; Chordata; Mammalia; Chiroptera; Vespertilionidae. The transcript is spliced from 5 exons. The record is from RefSeq and is a predicted model, not a curated record.